This 1671-nucleotide long non-coding RNA is filed under the name Equus caballus (horse). RNAcentral's name for it is "lncRNA (ENSECAG00000054717.1)". The record is from RNAcentral. Lineage: Eukaryota; Metazoa; Chordata; Mammalia; Perissodactyla; Equidae.
GAGUAGACCUCUGUGCUGACAGGCUAGAGGAUGGAUUCCAAUGGUGCCUGCCAGUGUCUUUGGCAUCACCGCUGGCCUAGGUCAUAAUAAUGGCUGCUGCCAGUGUCUCAGUCUCUGAGGGAUGGGCCCGGCCACCUACUGCCUCUCUGAGAUGCACUCAGAGCUUAGCAAUGGAUUGAGAAUAGUCACUUCAUUCAGGGAGGACGGAACACACGUGACAAUUAACAGCAUUAACCUCUACAGCAUUGGUCUGCAUUUCUGUUCAAAAAUUGACGGGGGACCCACACUAUGGAGAAGGUCACAGUAAAUCUGGAAAGAGUCACAUGAAGCUCAUCGUUCUGAACAUCCCAAUUCUACUUGUCAAGGAUGCCUGGAAAGAGACACUGAAGAGAACAGCACAGAAUAUGGAAACCCUGGAGAAGGGAGAACAACUUCAUUGCUAAGAUCAAAAUCAUCCUCGUUUUGAUAUAACCACCAUAAACUAGAAAAAAAAAGGGGGGUUUCAUCUAUACAAGAACUAAUCCUUGGGAAGUAAAUGUCAGUCCUCUGCGAGGACUGGUGGUUGCUUUUCUCUGCCCUUUGAUGUCAGCUUUCUGGGGCGAGGUGGCAGGACCCACAGUGAUGUCCGUUCAGACCACACAUUCCAACCCAGCCCAAGUCACAUGACUGGCGUGUUAGUGAGGUCAGUUUAGAUUAUUCUGGUUUUUGCGUAGCUGGGCAUCAGGUCCCUUGGUGGGGCUGCUUAAAUUGCUCCACCCCUGCAAAAUGCUGAAUGCCGUAUGAGGGGACCACCUGAUUGUCCAGCUCUGCUUCCCCAUGGGCAAAGAGCUGUAUGAAACACAUGCGGACCCUUAUCAGUGUUCCAAACUCUGCAAGGCUUGAAGUUGGUUUUCAAGCCACAGUUCACACAGAUUUAGUAAAAGCAGCCUACAUAGCUGUCCUUCUCUGAAAUCUUUGUUCUAACUUUUUCCAAAUGUGUUUAACUAAUUUUGAACUCUAGACUCAAAUCUCAAUACUCUCCAAUCCACUGCAUCUGUUUUCAAGAUACUGAGGCGCAUUUACAGAAAAUAUCGUCAUCCUUCAUGGGUUGAUUAGAUGAGUGAUGAGAUACUAAGUUCCCUUGGUUAACUGCCAUUCUCCAUGUUCUACUUUUCAACUGGUUCCCACCCACAGGCACUUUCUUCCCUAUCUAUUUCUCUUGUUCUUUCCUGUUCACUCUCCCCAUUUCCUCCUACUUGUGGUCACUGACUCCCAUUAUUAUUCUCUUCAUUCUGAGAUAAUAUAUGAGAAAACACUCUGUAAAUCCUAAAAUUCUAUACCAAAGUCAGACAUCAAUAUUAUAAUUAUAACUCAUCAUUUUACAAUCUGGUUUUGUGCGUGGGUAUGUGUGUACAGUGUGGGUGUAUUCAUGUGUGCAUGAGAGGAAAGCUCACCUGUCAUGAUUGGUCCUACAUCCUGGAGUGAGGUCUCCAUUACCCUUUCCUGACCAGAGAGGGCCUCUACCUACGUAGAGAGGCAAGCUCCAGAUAGAUCUAACUAAUUAGAAGUUUCAGAUGUGAGAUCUUUUGAAAAUACACAACAGUAGACAGCCUGUCCUAGUUAAUCUAAGAAGCAGAGAAAAUUUGCUUGUACUCUCCCAUUUGCCUAUCUGCUGACAUUUAUUUCUCCACC